Molecule: ribosomal RNA, 939 nt
Filed under: Funneliformis coronatus
Lineage: Eukaryota; Fungi; Glomeromycota; Glomeromycetes; Glomerales; Glomeraceae
Description: LSU rRNA
Rfam family: Eukaryotic large subunit ribosomal RNA
Source: RNAcentral
GACCUCAAAUCAGGUAAGAAUACCCGCUGAACUUAAGCAUAUCAAUAAGCGGAGGAAAAGAAAAUAACAAUGAUUCCCUCAGUAACGGCGAGCGAAGAGGGAUAAGCUCAAAUUUUAAAUCUGCUGGGUUUCACCUAACAGAGUUGUAUUUUGAAGAAACGUUUUCUGCGUCCCGGGUUAGCCUAAGUCCUUUGGGAUAAGGUAUCAUGGAGGGUGAGAAUCCCGUUCAUGGUUAAUCUUGAGGAUGCUCUACGAUACGUUUUCCAAGAGUCGAGUUGUUUGGGAUUGCAGCUCAAAAUGGGAGGUAAAUUUCUCCUAAGGCUAAAUAUUGGCGAGAGACCGAUAGCGAACAAGUACCGUGAGGGAAAGAUGAAAAGAACUUUGAAAAGAGAGUUAAACAGUACGUGAAAUUGUUGAAAGGGAAACGAUUGAAGUCAGUCAUACCAACGGGAAAUCAACCUUUUGAGCUUUGUCUCGUGGGUUCGAAGAGUUUAAACGCCUUCGGGUUCGCGAGAUUGGGAUCUUCUGGUGUACUUUCUCGUACGGUUAGUCAACAUCGGUUUUGAAUGUCAUAAAAUGACUGGAGGAAUGUAGCUUCGAUCUCGUAUCGAAGUGUUAUAGCCUUUGGUAGAUGUGAUGUUUGAGACCGAGGAUUGCAACGGAUACCCUUUAAGGGCUAUUCGUCUGAUCUCUGAUACGUUGCCUUGACGUUGAAAGCUUGCUUAUGAUGUUAGGGUAUUACGGUCAAAAGGUUAGAACGGAUUAAAUUCGUUAAGGAUGUUGACGUAAUGACUUUAAACGACCCGUCUUGAAACACGGACCAAGGAGUCUAACAUAUAUGCGAGUGUUUGGGUGGUUAAACCCUUGCGCGUAAUGAAAGUGAUUUUGGUGAGAUCCGGGAAACAUUUUUCGGAGCAUCAUCGACCGAUCAGGAUAUUU